Molecule: ribosomal RNA, 274 nt
Filed under: uncultured bacterium
Lineage: Bacteria
Description: partial 16S ribosomal RNA
Rfam family: Bacterial small subunit ribosomal RNA
Source: RNAcentral
AUACGGAGGGUGCGAGCGUUAAUCGGAAUUACUGGGCGUAAAGGGCGCGUAGGCGGCUGAAUCAGUCAGAUGUGAAAGCCCCGGGCUUAACCUGGGAAUGGCAUUUGAUACUGUUUAGCUAGAGUUUGGUAGAGGGGAGUGGAAUUUCCGGUGUAGCGGUGAAAUGCGUAGAGAUCGGAAGGAACAUCAGUGGCGAAGGCGGCUCUCUGGACCAAAACUGACGCUGAGGUGCGAAAGCGUGGGUAGCAAACAGGAUUAGAAACCCCAGUAGUCC